CGGUGGAGCAUGUGGUUUAAUUCGAAGCAACGCGAAGAACCUUACCAGGCCUUGACAUGCAGAGAACUUUCCAGAGAUGGAUUGGUGCCUUCGGGAACUCUGACACAGGUGCUGCAUGGCUGUCGUCAGUUCGUGUCGUGAGAUGUUGGGUUAAGUCCGUAACGAGCGCAACCCUUGUCCUUAGUUACCAGCACGUUAUGGUGGGCACUCUAAGGAGACUGCCGGUGACAAACCGGAGGAAGGUGGGGAUGACGUCAAGUCAUCAUGGCCCUUACGGCCUGGGCUACACACGUGCUACAAUGGUCGGUACAAAGGGUUGCCAAGCCGCGAGGUGGAGCUAAUCCCAUAAAACCGAUCGUAGUCCGGAUCGCAGUCUGCAACUCGACUGCGUGAAGUCGGAAUCGCUAGUAAUCGUGAAUCAGAAUGUCACGGUGAAUACGUUCCCGGGCCUU
This 452-nucleotide ribosomal RNA is filed under the name uncultured Pseudomonas sp. RNAcentral describes it as "bacterial SSU rRNA". It matches the Rfam family "Bacterial small subunit ribosomal RNA", at positions 930 to 1382 of the family's 1533-position model. The record is from RNAcentral. Lineage: Bacteria; Pseudomonadati; Pseudomonadota; Gammaproteobacteria; Pseudomonadales; Pseudomonadaceae.